AUUAAUUUAUUUAAAUGAAAAUUUGAGGGAGGAUAUAUUUUUAUUAUGUAUUGAAUAUCGCACUCCCAGGGCAUCUUAUACUAUUCUUAUAAUUAUUUUAUAUUUUUUAUUAUGAAUAAAGGUGCACCUAUAGCGUACACGCUGGGACCCGAAAGAUGGUGAACUAUGCCUGGUCAGGACGAAGUCAGGGGAAACCCUGAUGGAGGUCCGUAGCGAUUCUGACGUGCAAAUCGAUCGUCGGAACU
RNAcentral lists this ribosomal RNA (245 nucleotides) under Myrmeleon fasciatus. RNAcentral's name for it is "partial 28S ribosomal RNA". It matches the Rfam family "Eukaryotic large subunit ribosomal RNA", at positions 705 to 912 of the family's 3401-position model. Lineage: Eukaryota; Metazoa; Arthropoda; Insecta; Neuroptera; Myrmeleontidae. The record is from RNAcentral.